Molecule: long non-coding RNA, 472 nt
Organism: Erythranthe guttata (spotted monkey flower)
Lineage: Eukaryota; Viridiplantae; Streptophyta; Magnoliopsida; Lamiales; Phrymaceae
Source: RefSeq, a predicted model, not a curated record
CUCUCUCUCAAAAGCUCCUGCACCACCGCCACGCGGCCACAACUGGGCGGAGCCGGUCGAGUUGGUGGCCAUUCGGCGGGCUCUCGAUCACAAACUCAAUUUCGAAUAUCACGAACUAUCGAUUGCAAAGGCUCUGCUGAUCGCUCUUCCAGAUCCGCCACCCCUCAGGCUCUGUCUGUCGUCUCAACUCGGAUGUGUGCCAGGUCAACGUAAGAUUAUUAUAUGAGUAAUAUGUUUUCUGUUCGAUUUUUAGGAACGAGCUAUAGGGAGCUUUGAGCAUUACAUUAGCCUCUAUAGCAGGGGCAAUUGCAACAGUUAUGGUGGUCUACGAUGUAUUUUUUUUAGUAUUUGUUUGUUUUCCUUGUACAUGUUUUGCAACAAUGAUUAUUCGUUUAUUUUUCGCAUAUUUCAUGCCAGAAUGGUGACGUUUUGCUUCUGAUGUUUCUAAUUGGAAUGUUUUGUCACUUUUUUC